RNAcentral lists this ribosomal RNA (622 nucleotides) under Streptomyces sp. EK-A3. RNAcentral describes it as "bacterial SSU rRNA". It matches the Rfam family "Bacterial small subunit ribosomal RNA", at positions 54 to 694 of the family's 1533-position model. Lineage: Bacteria; Bacillati; Actinomycetota; Actinomycetes; Kitasatosporales; Streptomycetaceae. The record is from RNAcentral.
CAUGCAGUCGANGAUGAAGCCCUUCGGGGUGGAUUAGUGGCGAACGGGUGAGUAACACGUGGGCAAUCUGCCCUUCACUCUGGGACAAGCCCUGGAAACGGGGUCUAAUACCGGAUAACACCGGCUUCCGCAUGGGAGCUGGUUAAAAGCUCCGGCGGUGAAGGAUGAGCCCGCGGCCUAUCAGCUUGUUGGUGGGGUAAUGGCCUACCAAGGCGACGACGGGUAGCCGGCCUGAGAGGGCGACCGGCCACACUGGGACUGAGACACGGCCCAGACUCCUACGGGAGGCAGCAGUGGGGAAUAUUGCACAAUGGGCGAAAGCCUGAUGCAGCGACGCCGCGUGAGGGAUGACGGCCUUCGGGUUGUAAACCUCUUUCAGCAGGGAAGAAGCGAAAGUGACGGUACCUGCAGAAGAAGCGCCGGCUAACUACGUGCCAGCAGCCGCGGUAAUACGUAGGGCGCAAGCGUUGUCCGGAAUUAUUGGGCGUAAAGAGCUCGUAGGCGGCUUGUCACGUCGGGUGUGAAAGCCCGGGGCUUAACCCCGGGUCUGCAUCCGAUACGGGCAGGCUAGAGUGUGGUAGGGGAGAUCGGAAUUCCUGGUGUAGCGGUGAAAUNGCGUANA